CCCUUCCGGUCUUCGAGACCGCGUCUUCAACUCGCCGCAGGACCCCACGAAAGUGACCAGAAAUGCGGACGAGGCGAAGUGACCCUUGACUAUGAGUACCUUUUGUUCCCUCGGCGGGCUCGCGCCCGUCGCUGGGCCCAUCCAAACCCCUUUGCAGUAGCAGUAUACCUCUGAUCGUGGGCACUUGAAUCUUUA
RNAcentral lists this unclassified non-coding RNA (195 nucleotides) under soil metagenome. RNAcentral's name for it is "partial internal transcribed spacer 1". The record is from RNAcentral.